UGUGUUAUCAAAAGUCCAGCAGUUUAUGUAAUUGUGAGAGUGAAGUGUUUGACACUGCUUUUGAGUUUCUGAGCACCUCACUUUUUUCUACACUAUGCAACGUAGCAAUUUAGAUAAACGUUACCAACAGGCCUAAGGUGGUCGUGUGGAAUCAUUCUGGAGGAAAUCCCUGCUGAACUUGUCUGGCUUUUUGAGCUCAACAGAAACAUUUUCAACUAAGAUACCAGACUCCACCGAUCAACGCUCAAGCCCAUCCCAGGCUCUACAGCCGCUCUGCCAGUCUAUGGAGACGGUACAGCUGUAGGACUGAAUGAUGACGUCACCUCUUCCUCAUCUCUGGGCUCCGAUUCCUCCUCUCCCAUUGCAAAUAGAACUCGUCAGGAGCAGGGAGAAGUGAUAACUGCUCCUAUGAUAAACGCCAUGGGACCAACUGGCCCAGCCCUCGUCUACCGCCCCUGGACUGACGCAGACAUGACCAAAGCACUAAAUCACCUCCCAGACCAACGGAACUCUGGCACAGCAUUUGCCCUCCAGUUUGAAACAUUUUGCCAAGAAUUCAUGCCAACAGUGUCUGAAAUCAGACGACUUCUAAUGAAGAAAUUAGGCCCCACUGACUUUGCAAAAAUACAUCAGCACUGUGGAGGUGACCUCCGUCUGACUUCACCAGACUGGGAUGAUGCGGGUAAUGCCACAUAUGUCAAUGCUCUCAACACACUCCUCAACGCCCCGAAGACCGUCUUCCCAAACAAAAUAGAGAAAGGGACGAGAUGACAGACGGAGAGGAGAAGUCCAGCCUUCCCGUCGAGAAACAGAGAAAGAUAAGUGAAACACACACACACACAGAAGCAUACACACACACAGAAGCCACUGCAAAGAAGUAUCAGCUUGCGUUACUAACUGCACACACAUACAAACACCAGAUCACACACAACUUUGUGGUACUUAUGUUAAGUACAAUAGUGAUGCUUUUAAGAAAAUGCCUCAACUCGAACUUCAACAACAUCCCAUAAAGUUUGAACAUGGUUUUCUGUUGUCUCCCUGUUGCCCAAUUAAUCUAUUAGGAAGAGAUUUGAUGAUUCAUGGCAUGCACCUCACAUGUGACAGACACAGCAGAUCAUGUUUAUGAAUCUCUGUUUUUGCCUUUUUCUGAAAAGUCCAAUAAUUUUUGGUCUGGUUCCAGAAGUGCAACUGCUCAUUUGUUGUGACUGAAAAUCACCUUUAUUCUUAUGCAAUGUUGUUCAGCACCUUUGAUGUUUCUCCUUUACUUUCAGAUCUGCCUGAAACACUGUGGGCAAAAGACAAAUAUAAUGUGGGCCUCAUCAGAAAUUGGGAUCCAGUCUAAAUCACUCCAAAAUCUGAUUAUAGACCAUGUAAACAACAAUAUCCAUUCAGACAGGAAGCAAUGGAGGGGAUACGUCCUGUUUUUGAAUCCUUUUUGCAGUUCGGUGUAAUUGUCCCCUGUCCUGAUUCAACGGGCCGCAUUCCACUGUUCCCAGUUAAGAAGAUCAGAGACAAAGGUCAACCUACUGAGUGGCGGUUUGUGCAGGAUUUGAAGGCUGUGAAUAAGGCCGUAAUUUUUCGAUCGCCUAUUAUUCCCAACCCAUACACACUGCUUUCCCAAAUUCCGCCUAAUGCAGUGUGGUUUUCGAAUGUAGAUUUAUCCAACGCAUUCUUUAGUGUUCCUGUCCACAAGGACAGCCACUCCUCCUCACUCCAGGUUCUGCUCUCUUGCAGUAUGUUGAUGGUCUACUAAUUGCCAGUCCCACACAGGAGCAAUGUUAAACAAACACGAUCGCUUUGCAGAGACUUGUGAGGGCCAUAAAGUCAGCCUCAGCAAACUACAGUUUGUACAACAAACCGUCACGUUUCCGGGUCAUGUCGUCACCAAAGAUGGCAAAUCCCUGUCUGAUAAGAGAGUAGAAGCUAUUGUUAAAAUGCCGAAACCCUUGAUGAAGAAACGACUCAUGUCAUUCAUCGGCACAUUGUCUUUCUGUAGAACAUUCAUUCCUGACUUUGCUCUUCUUGAAGCCCCCUUAGGCGCUCUGUACCACGGCAAAUCACUCACUCCUCAUGAACGUGUCGUUUGGACUCCAGAAGCAGACGAGGCAUUUGUCACACUGAAGAAGACGCUGCAGCAAUCUCCCACUCUUGCUCUCCCUAACCCUGACAAACCUUUUAUUCAGGCUGUGUAUGUGAGAGACCGCUGCAUGACUUCAGUCUUCCUUCAGCCUCAUGGUGACAAAUUUCGCCCUGUCGCCUACUUCUCCGCCAAACUUGAUCCGGUGGCAGCUGGCCUUCACGUUGUUUGCGUGCAGUGGCCACCUGUGAAAAGCCGUCCUUGCCUCACGAAACAUAGGUUACUCUGACUUGACACUCAGCGUUCCUCAUGCUGUGUCUCUCAUUCUUACAGAACAGUAGACCUCACAUCUCUCUGCUGCUCGCUGGUUGCGGUAUCACCGGUGAUGAGGUCAGAGCCCUGACAUCUUGGUGCAAGGACAACAACCUCCAUCUCAACGUCAGCAAAACGAAGGAGCUGAUCGUGGACUACAGGAAGAGACAAGGAGUGGAACACGCCCCCCUCUCCAUCAACGGGACCACGCAGGAGUGAGUCAGCAGCUUCAAGUUCCUCGGGGUCCACAUCACUGAUGACCUGACCUGGACCCAUCACACAGACUCCAUCAGGAAGACGGCCAGACAGCGGCUCUUCUUCCUCUUCAGGCUGCGUAAGCUCCACAUGGACUCCAAGAUUCUCUGCAAUUUCUACAUGUGCCCAAUAGAGAGCAUCCUGACUGGCUGCAUCACCGCCUGGUAUGGCAGUUGCACCGCCCUGAGCCGUAAGGCUAUACAGAGGGUGGUGUAGUCCACCCAGCACAUCACCAGGACGGCGCUACCAUCCAUAGAGGACCUCUACACCCAGUGGUGCAGGAAGAAGAGCAGCCGGAUUAUUAAAGACCCCUUUCACCCCAGUCAUAAACAUUUUUGCCUGCUGCCGUCUGGCCGACGGUACCGCAGCAUCCGGGCCCGCAUCACCAGGCUCAGAGACAGUUUCAUCCCCCAGGCCAUAAGACUUUUAAACUCCUCUGAACUGCAAUAAUUCUACCAAACCAGCAACGUGACAUAUUUGCAUAUUUUCACAUAAAUGCACUAUUGUUAUUUUAUUUUCUCUUCAGUUGUUUAUAUAUAUAUUAGAUAUAUAUACUUUAUUUUCUAUUUUAAAUUUUGAUAUUCUAUUUUAUUCAAUAUUUACUAUUUCUAUUUUAUUUUAUAGGUUGUAAUUACUUGAGCAUUACUAGAAGACAGCUUGUGACUCAAGCAUUUCACUGCCAGCAACUGCUUAAUGUUAUUGUUGUGCAUUUGAUAAUAAAAAUCUUGAAUCUUGAA
Long non-coding RNA from Platichthys flesus (European flounder), 3381 nucleotides. RefSeq lists it as uncharacterized. The transcript is spliced from 2 exons. Lineage: Eukaryota; Metazoa; Chordata; Actinopteri; Pleuronectiformes; Pleuronectidae. The record is from RefSeq and is a predicted model, not a curated record.